AACACCUACAACUAGCAUUCACCACACAAGCAAGGUAUCAAAGAGAAAGCUUCUAAGACUUGUGCAAGCAAGCAUAUGUGACGCACAUUCAAAUGCAACAUACAAGUUUAUAAGCUUGCUCCCCCUACUUAUGUCCUCCAAAAUUUUAAUUUUAAUUGAUACCCUUCCUUUAUCAUGUUACUCCCCUUUAUUUCUCCUCCAUUUUUAUCUUUGUAGUUCCUCUCCCCCUUUGUCAUCAAUGACCACAAAAGGUGAGCUUAAAUUUUAGAUAGGUUAGUGUGAAACCAUAUGAAGUGAGAUCAUUUUCCCAAAUUAGUUCAACC
This 323-nucleotide long non-coding RNA is filed under the name Sorghum bicolor (sorghum). Its description in RNAcentral is "long non-coding RNA (SBIC_LNC017928)". Lineage: Eukaryota; Viridiplantae; Streptophyta; Magnoliopsida; Poales; Poaceae. The record is from RNAcentral.